Unclassified non-coding RNA from Lingula anatina, 811 nucleotides. The record is from RefSeq and is a predicted model, not a curated record. NCBI's taxonomy places the organism in Eukaryota, Metazoa, Brachiopoda, Lingulata, Lingulida, Lingulidae.
GAAAUGUGGAACGCUGGGAUAUUACUAAAAGCAGACAUCUUGGUUGUGUGUGCUUGCCUAGUGUUAGCAAAUAUCUUCAAAAUGCCUUUUUGGCGUGAUGUAGGACUGAACUAUGUUCAGUAUUCCCAAGUCUGUGCCAGAGUAAUUAGGGCCUGCCUUAAACCAGAACUCAGAGUUGAGGCAAUAAAAAGAGAUGAGAAAUCUAUACGUCAUAUCAAAUGGAAGGACGGAAAGGCUGUUACUAAUGGAGAGUAAUUUGCAGUACACACCCAGACAUUGGAUAGGUACCUGAGAAUGAAUAGUGAAAUAUAUUUUAACCAAAAGACUGCCAAACUGGAAGAUUCUUUGUGAUUGGACACUUUGUACAUUGAGGGCACAAAUACCAGGUCAAAUUUGGAGAAUGGUCUAAGAUUCUGUACACUACAGAUAGAAGAAAAGGCAGAGAGAAAGUGGCACAAGCUGCAAGGGACCCAUUGGAUGCCUUGUUACAAGAGAAAAAAAUAAUACAAGACACUGGAGACAUAUUUUGCUUAGCUUUUUGGGUAAUUUUAGGAAAUAUUUGAAUUCUCUUAAAAAAUAUCAGGAUACUGUAUAAACAGUUUUAUACUAGGACAAGUUGUAACAUUGUAAAUGUGAGAUGCAUCUUGGUGUGAUUACUACAAUGGCUAUGACGGAUCAUUCUACAAAUAUGAUGAGGAACUUAGUAUUGUGGAGAUGUCUGACUAGAGAACAGUGCACACGUGUUGAUAUGUAGAUUAUUUGCUAUUUACACUCAAGAGAAGUGAGACAAUAAAACUGUUGAAUUGAUAAA